UACACGCUGUGACUAGCAUAUCAAUAAGCGGAGGAAAAGAAACUAACAAGGAUUCCCCUAGUAACGGCGAGUGAAGCGGGAAGAGCUCAAAUUUGAAAUCUUAAAGGGUUUCCCUUUACGAAUUGUAGUUUAAAGAAGUGUUUUCUGUUGAGGUUUUGGUAAAAGUUCUUUGGAAUAGGACAUCAUAGAGGGUGAGAAUCCCGUAUUUGACCUUUACUUUCAACUUUGUGAUACACUUUCAAAGAGUCGGAUUGUUUGGGAAUGCAGUCCAAAAUGGGUGGUAAAUUUCAUCUAAAGCUAAAUAUUGGCGAGAGACCGAUAGCGAACAAGUACCGUGAGGGAAAGAUGAAAAGAACUUUGAAAAGAGAGUUAAACAGUACGUGAAAUUGUCAAAAGGGAAGCGUUUGACACCAGUGUUGUUUUUCUGAAAAUCAAUUAAAGAACUGUUUAUGCUAAGUUGUUUAGACUUUAUCAGCUAACUGUUUAGUUUUGAGCUUUUCUUUAAUGCACUUUUCAGUUAACAAGUCAACAUCAAUUUCUUUUGCUGUAAAAAAGCUUGAGGAAGGUGGCUUGAGAUUCGUCUUAAGUGUUUAUAGCCUCUUGCCUAUGCAGUCGGAGAGAUUGAGGUCUGCAGCGUAGAUCCUUCGGGGCUAAAUGCAUUUGUGCUAAGUUAUAGCAUUUCAUAGACAACUUGUUGACUAUGAUUUGUCUUGUAGCUUACUCGCUUAUGUUAUUUUACCUACGCUUAGAAUGUUGACAGCAGUAUAGACUGU
This 773-nucleotide ribosomal RNA is filed under the name uncultured Neocallimastigales. Its description in RNAcentral is "partial large subunit ribosomal RNA". It matches the Rfam family "Eukaryotic large subunit ribosomal RNA", at positions 22 to 637 of the family's 3401-position model. Lineage: Eukaryota; Fungi; Neocallimastigomycota; Neocallimastigomycetes; Neocallimastigales. The record is from RNAcentral.